UUUCCUACGGGACGCAGCAGUGGGGGAUAUUGCACAAUGGGGGAAACCCUGAUGCAGCGACGCCGCGUGGGUGAAGAAGCGCCUCGGCGCGUAAAGCCCUGUCAGCAGGGAAGAAAAUGACGGUACCUGAGUAAGAAGCCCCGGCUAACUACGUGCCAGCAGCCGCGGUAAUACGUAGGGGGCAAGCGUUAUCCGGAUUUACUGGGUGUAAAGGGAGCGUAGACGGCGAUGCAAGUCUGAAGUGAAAGCCCGGGGCUCAACCCCGGGACUGCUUUGGAAACUGUAUGGCUGGAGUGCUGGAGAGG
RNAcentral lists this ribosomal RNA (305 nucleotides) under uncultured bacterium. RNAcentral describes it as "bacterial SSU rRNA". It matches the Rfam family "Bacterial small subunit ribosomal RNA", at positions 335 to 657 of the family's 1533-position model. The record is from RNAcentral.